AUUGAACGCUGGCGGCAUGCCUUACACAUGCAAGUCGAGCGGCGGCGCGGGGGCAACCCUGGCGGCGAGCGGCGAACGGGUGAGUAAUGCAUCGGAACGUGUCCUCUUGUGGGGGAUAACCAGUCGAAAGACUGGCUAAUACCGCAUGAGAUCGAGAGAUGAAAGCAGGGGACCGCAAGGCCUUGCGCGAGAGGAGCGGCCGAUGCCGGAUUAGCUAGUUGGUGGGCCGUUACCCCACCAAGGCGACGAUCCGUAGCUGGUCUGAGAGGACGACCAGCCACACUGGGACUGAGACACGGCCCCAGACUCCUACGGGAGGCAGCAGUGGGGAAUUUUGGACAAUGGGGGCAACCCUGAUCCAGCCAUGCCGCGUGUGUGAAGAAGGCCUCGGGUUGUAAAGCACUUUCGGACGGAACGAAAUCGCGCGGGUGAAUAUCCCGCGUGGAUGACGGUACCGUAAGAAGAAGCACCGGCUAACUACGUGCCAGCAGCCGCGGUAAUACGUAGGGUGCGAGCGUUAAUCGGAAUUACUGGGCGUAAAGUGUGCGCAGGUGGCCUCGCAAGUCGAGUGUGAAAUCCCCGGGCUUAACUUGGGAAUUGCGCUCGAAACUAC
This 613-nucleotide ribosomal RNA is filed under the name uncultured bacterium. RNAcentral's name for it is "bacterial SSU rRNA". It matches the Rfam family "Bacterial small subunit ribosomal RNA", at positions 28 to 636 of the family's 1533-position model. The record is from RNAcentral.